Molecule: long non-coding RNA, 1165 nt
Organism: Talpa occidentalis (Iberian mole)
Lineage: Eukaryota; Metazoa; Chordata; Mammalia; Eulipotyphla; Talpidae
Exons: 4
Source: RefSeq, a predicted model, not a curated record
UGUGUGGUUAGAAAAACCCGAGACGUUUCUGAGCAGAGGUGAUAUCUGAGCUGAGGGACAUUCUGUAGAAAAAGCACAGACUGUGCAAAGACCUAAAGAUCGGAAAGAUUAUAACUCAUCAUUGAAAUUGCAAGUUGCACCCUACAAGAUUCUGAUGUGCACCAAAUAGGCAGAGAUCUCACCGAGUCCCUCUGACGGUGCAUUUUCUGCAAGCUUUAUCCCAGAAGAGUGACCAAGGAAUCACAUACCCCAUGUGGCUUCUCCAACCUCUACGAACUCUUCCAAACUUCACGUUCGAGAUCAUCAGCUGAGCAGUGAGAAAAACUUUCAGGCUAUCACCAUUGGAACGUCGUCUGAAAAUCCAGUUAUCAUAGGAGCGUCUUCAUCGUCUUCCCCUAAAGACAAACAGUCAUUCCUUGAUUAUCUUCAAGUACUUCCUGGUCCUGGAAUUUCUCUGGAAAGAAACGGAUGGGAUGCCAGGUUGAGGAAGCAGUUUUGCUGCCCGGUUCUAGAGCCACAGUCACCCCACAUACUGUUUGAGAAAGAGGAGCCCUUGGUUCCAAAGCUCAAGCCCAGCCUGGCCUCAGGAGGCACAGCAAGCUCCAGCGCGUUUCCCUCUCUACCGGGGAAGACAAGUUCAGAAAAUGAAAAGUGCUUAGUGCAGAGAUUCUCAUCUUAAUGGACAGUAUAAACUUUUCACUAAUUAGCAACCCCACAGAAAAUGACCCUUUAAUUCUCAAGUUCACUUCCUUGUCCUAUUCUUUUUACUCAAUCUAUGCCAGCAUACUGUUAAUGAGCUCAUCUCUAAAACAGCAUUUCAAUGAGAUUCCCGAAGUCCUUGAGAAUGAGGGAGGUGCUUACCCUGCUUUCAUUAAAAUGCUUCUCCUUCAGAGCAAGACUUUUCCAAAACAGAAGAACGUGGUCAUUUUCUGUUAUAAUUUUUAAGGCAUCAGGUGCUGAUAACGAAACUGAAAGUUGAAGAUGAAACAGGAUACAGUUAGUGCUUGCACAUUUGAACCUUUGUUUUUUCAUCCAUUAAAGGGAGAUUAAAUAAUGCUACCUUGACAGGAUCCAGGAAGAACUGUGCAACACACAUAAGCCAAUAGUAUGUCUGCCACGGGCUAUGCUCUAUAGGGCAUCUCUUGCUGUUCUUAUAAAAGCUUUA